CCUCUGUGGUGAUGAAAUAUGAAAAUUCUUCGCAUGUCAGACUUCAGAGAUUUUUUCCCUAAAAUCCAUGAGAAGAGAAUUCAUUUUCUGAACAGAGA
This 98-nucleotide small nucleolar RNA is filed under the name Nelumbo nucifera (sacred lotus). RNAcentral's name for it is "Small nucleolar RNA R64/Z200 family". It matches the Rfam family "Small nucleolar RNA R64/Z200 family". Rfam says of the family: This family of plant small nucleolar RNAs belong to the C/D class of snoRNA which contain the C (UGAUGA) and D (CUGA) box motifs. This family includes Arabidopsis thaliana snoRNA R64 and Oryza sativa snoRNAs Z200 and J16. The record is from Rfam by way of RNAcentral. Lineage: Eukaryota; Viridiplantae; Streptophyta; Magnoliopsida; Proteales; Nelumbonaceae.